RNAcentral lists this ribosomal RNA (481 nucleotides) under uncultured bacterium. Its description in RNAcentral is "partial 16S ribosomal RNA". It matches the Rfam family "Bacterial small subunit ribosomal RNA", at positions 30 to 507 of the family's 1533-position model. The record is from RNAcentral.
UGAACGCUGGCGGCAGGCCUAACACAUGCAAGUCGAGCGGAUGAAGGGAGCUUGCUCCUGGCUUCAGCGGCGGACGGGUGAGUAAUGCCUAGGAAUCUGCCUGGUAGUGGGGGAUAACGUCCGGAAACGGGCGCUAAUACCGCAUACGUCCUGAGGGAGAAAGUGGGGGUCUUCGGACCUCACGCUAUCAGAUGAGCCUAGGUCGGAUUAGCUAGUUGGUGGGGUAAAGGCCUACCAAGGCGACGAUCCGUAACUGGUCUGAGAGGAUGAUCAGUCACACUGGAACUGAGACACGGUCCAGACUCCUACGGGAGGCAGCAGUGGGGAAUAUUGGACAAUGGGCGAAAGCCUGAUCCAGCCAUGCCGCGUGUGUGAAGAAGGUCUUCGGAUUGUAAAGCACUUUAAGUUGGGAGGAAGGGCAGUAAGUUAAUACCUUGCUGUUUUGACGUUACCAACAGAAUAAGCACCGGCUAACUUCGUG